AUUGAACGCUGGCGGCAGGCCUAACACAUGCAAGUAGAGCGAGCGGCGGAGUGGUGAGCAAGGUCUGGGAAACUGCAUGAAGGAGGGGGAUAACUACUGGAAACGGUAGCUAAUACCGCAUACCAUCAGAUGGGCCCAGAUGGGAUUAGCUAGUAGGUGGGGCAACGGCUCACAUAGGCGUAGAUCCCGAGCUAGUCUGAGAGGAUGACCACCCACACUGUAACUGCGCAACGGUCCCGACUCCUACGGGAGGCAGCAGGGGGGAAGAUUUCGCAAUGGGCGAAAGCCUGAUGCAGCCAUGCGGCGUGUGUGAAGAAGGCCUGCGGGUUGUAAAGCACUUUCAGCAGUGAGGCGUGACUCGCAGAAAAAGAAUCGGCUAACUCCGGGCCAGCAGCCGCGGUAAUUC
This 406-nucleotide ribosomal RNA is filed under the name uncultured bacterium. RNAcentral describes it as "partial 16S ribosomal RNA". It matches the Rfam family "Bacterial small subunit ribosomal RNA", at positions 29 to 526 of the family's 1533-position model. The record is from RNAcentral.